This is a long non-coding RNA of Sander lucioperca (pikeperch), 362 nucleotides long. RefSeq lists it as uncharacterized. NCBI's taxonomy places the organism in Eukaryota, Metazoa, Chordata, Actinopteri, Perciformes, Percidae. The transcript has 4 exons. The record is from RefSeq and is a predicted model, not a curated record.
GUGGUUGUUGUUUGUGUGGUUGUUGUAGGUGACGUAAUGAUGGUUGCUGUGGUUAAUGGGGUAGUUGUUGGGGGAUCCAUGGUCGUUGUCUGUAUGGUUGUUGUAGGUGGUGUAGUGAUGGUUGUUGUGGUCAAUGGGGUAGUUACUGUUGCGAUCGUUGUUGUGGUUAAUGGGGUAGUUGUUGGGGGAUCUGUGGUUGUUGUUUGUGUGGUUGUUGUAGGUGGCGUACUGAUAGUUGUUGUGGUCAAUGGGGUAGUUGUUGUAACGGUUGUUGUGGUUAUUGAAGAAGUUGUUAGGGGACCUGUGGUUGUUGUUUGUGUGGUUGUUGUAGGUGGCGUACUGAUGGUUGUUGUGGUUAAUGG